RNAcentral lists this ribosomal RNA (1885 nucleotides) under human gut metagenome. RNAcentral's name for it is "bacterial LSU rRNA". It matches the Rfam family "Bacterial large subunit ribosomal RNA", at positions 3 to 1980 of the family's 2925-position model. The record is from RNAcentral.
UCAAGCUAGAAAGAGCGCAAGGGGAAUGCCUUGGCAUCAGGAGCCGAUGAAGGACGUGACAAGCUGCGAAAAGCUUCGGGGAGCUGCAAAUAAGCAUUGAUCCGGAGAUAUCCGAAUGGGGAAACCCGGUACGGCAAUACCGUAUCAACGUGCUAUGAAUCAAAUAGCAGUACGUAGGGAACCGCCUGAACUGAAACAUCUAAGUAGGGCGAGGAAAAGACAUCAACCGAGAUUCCGCAAGUAGUGGCGAGCGAACGCGGAGGAGGCCAAACCAGAGGUCAUUGAUCUCUGGGGUAUGGACUUGCAUCAUGAUCAGAGGUAUCUAGUCGAAUGGCGUGGGAAAGCCAACCACAGAGGGUGAGAGUCCCGUAGACGAAAGAGAAGACUGACAGCGAGUAUCCAGAGUACCGCCGGACACGUGAAACCCGGUGGGAACAUGGGAGGACCACCUUCCAAGCCUAAAUACUACCUGAUGACCGAUAGUGGAGCAGUACCGUGAGGGAAAGGUGAAAAGAACCCCGGGAGGGGAGUGAAAUAGUACCUGAAACCUUGUGCUUACAAGCAGUUACAGCCCGUUAAAGGGUGGUAGCGUACUUUUUGUAGAACGGUCCGGCGAGUUAUAGUCACUAGCGAGCUUAAGACAUUCAGUGUUGGAGGCGUAGGGAAACCGAGUCUGAACAGGGCGAAUGAAGUUAGUGGCCAUAGACCCGAAACCAUGUGACCUAGCCAUGAGCAGGAUGAAGUGGAGGUAAAGCUCCAUGGAGGUCCGAACGCACGUUCGUUGCAAUGACCGGCGAUGACUUGUGGCUAGCGGUGAAAUUCCAAUCGAACUUGGAGAUAGCUGGUUCUCCCCGAAAUAGCUUUAGGGCUAGCGUUGGGAAUGAGUUUAGCGGAGGUAAAGCACUGAAUGAGCUAGGGGGCGCAAGCUUACUGAACUCUAUCAAACUAAGAAUGCCGCAUAAAUGCUUCCCAGCAGUCAGACUGCGAGUAAUAAAAUCCGUGGUCAAAAGGGUAACAGCCCAGACCCACAGCUAAGGUCCCCAAUACAUGCUAAGUGGAAAACGAUGUGAGAUUGCAUAAACAACCAGGAUGUUGGCUUAGAGGCAGCCACUCGUUCAAAGAGUGCGUAAUAGCUCACUGGUCGAGUGAUCUUGCGCGGAAAAUUUAACGGGGCUAAGCAUGUAACCGAAGCUUGGGAUUGCGCAAUGCGCAGUGGUAGGGGAGCGUCGUGUACGGGGUGAAGUACGAUCGAGAGGACGUGUGGACUGUACACGAGUGAGAAUGCCGGAAUGAGUAGCGAGAAUUAUGUGGGAAUCAUAAUGGCCGAAAAUCUAAGGUUUCUUGGGGAAGGUUCGUCCGCCCAAGGUAAGCCGGGAGCUAAGGCGAGGCCGAAAGGCGUAGUCGAUGCACAUACGGUUGAAAUUCCGUAGCCACCUUAUCGAUCAAAGCUGACACAUGGAGAUAGCCGAACCCGGGCGUUGGUUGACCCGGGCGAAAGGGACCGAACUACAGUAGGGAAGUCGGCGAUGCUCUGUGGCGAGAAAAGCUGUGCGUAUUGAUUAGGCGCCCGUACCGCAAACCGACACAGGUAGAUGAGGAGAGAAUCCUAAGGCCAACGGGAGAAGGGUUGUUAAGGAACUCGGCAAAUUGACCCCGUAACUUCGGGAGAAGGGGUGCUCCAGAGAUGGAGCCGCAGAGAAUCGGCCCAAGCAACUGUUUACCAAAAACACAGGUUUGUGCUAAAUCGAAAGAUGACGUAUACGAGCUGACGCCUGCCCGGUGCUGGAAGGUUAAGAGGAGAUGUGCAAGCAUUGAAUCGAAGCCCCAGUGAACGGCGGCCGUAACUAUAACGGUCCUAAGGUAGCGAAAUUCCUUGUCAGGUAAG